GGUAUUGUUUACCCCACAAUAAGCCCCGGAAGGUUGUUGUGUUGAAAAAACAAUAG
Molecule: non-coding RNA, 56 nt
Organism: Listeria floridensis FSL S10-1187
Lineage: Bacteria; Bacillati; Bacillota; Bacilli; Caryophanales; Listeriaceae
Source: Rfam